RNAcentral lists this long non-coding RNA (2026 nucleotides) under Sus scrofa (pig). RNAcentral describes it as "lncRNA (ENSSSCG00050035620.1)". Lineage: Eukaryota; Metazoa; Chordata; Mammalia; Artiodactyla; Suidae. The record is from RNAcentral.
AGGCACCGCGCGGCGCCUGCGCGUUCAGUGACCUUUCUGAGUCGUCGGUUGUGGUUGGGUUGGGGCUGCUGGAGCCGCUAGUCCUGCGCCGAGAUGCUUCAGAGCCUUAUCAAGAACGUUUGGAUCCCCUUGAAGCCCUACUACACCCAAGUUUACCAGGAGAUUUGGGUAGGAAUGGGGUUGAUGGGAUUCAUCGUCUAUAAAAUCAGGAGUGCUGGUAAGUGUCUUUGUGUCCGACUCACUAGAGGCCGGGAAGGAAACUCCUUUCACAAGGAAUCACAGGAGUUCCCGUGGUGGCUCAGUGGCUAAUGAACCCGACUAGGAACCAUGAGGUUGCGGGUUCGAUCCCUGGCCUCACUCAGUGGGUUAAGGAUCCGGUGUUGCCAUGAGCAGUGGUGUAGGUUGUAGACGCGGCUCAGAUCCCACGUUGCUGUGGCUCUGGUGUAGGCCAGCGGCUGCAGCUCUGAUUCAACCCCUAGCCUGGGGACCUCCAUAUGCCGCGGGAGCGGCCCAAGAAAUGCCAAAAAAGACAAAGAAAGAAAAGAAAAGAAACCAAACCAAAGCGAAUCACAAAUGGUAUUCAUACUGUGAAGGAACUGGGUUCUUACCCGGGAGUGAACACCAGACCCCGUGAUCCUUGUAAGCGUGAGAGCCGUGUCAGCACCAAGGGGCAGCUGCGAAGACCUUGCUGUCAGGGAAUUGUGAGUUUUCUUAGGGGGACGGUCGUGUUUAGAAUGCACAGGAGAGGCCCUCAGCUUUAAGAGACGCAGGCUGAAACACUUACGGAUGCCACGCCUGGUCCCCAGUGUCUUGUUAGACUUUCUCCACGGAUGUGAAUGUUUGAAAUACUCUGAUGGUAAAAGUUUGGUUGGGGUAACCAGUGGUUCCCAGUGGAGCAGAGACGAGGCCCACAGUAAUCAUGGAUUACUGUGAUUGGUUAAGGAGUUCCCUGGUGGAUCAGCAGAUUAAGGAUGUGGCAUGGGUUCAGUCCCUGGCCCAGGAACCUCAGCAUGGUGUGGGCAUGGCCAAGUGGCUUCGUGGGUUAAGAACCCAUCAUUGUCUUUAUGAGGAUGCAGGUUCAAUCCUUGGCCUCACCCAGUGGGUUAAGGAUCCAGCAUCGCUUCAAGCUGCAGUGUAUGUCGUAGAUGCGGCCUGGAUCCGGUGUUGCCAUGGUGGUGGCUUAGGCUGCAGCUCCCACUCCCACUCGACCCCUAGCCCGGGAACUUCCAUGUGCUGCCGGUGCAGUAUGUUAAGGAUCCGGCACUUCUAUGAGCUGUGGUGUAGGGUUGCAGACGCAGCCUGGGUCCCACGUCACUGUGGCUGUGGCGUAUGUUGCUCCGAUGCCUGGGAAUCUCCACACGCUGCAGGUGUGGCCCUGAAAAGCAAAAGAAGGGAGGGAGGAAAUGUGAUUGAUUGAACAGAGAAGAGAAAGGAGAAAACUUUAAACUGCAAGCCUGAGGUUGGGCACGUGGGGGGGAAUGAAGGGCCCUGUGGAUUCCAAAGGGCGUUUGGCUCUUCCGGGCCCACCUGCGGUGGAAGUCUGACCACUCGUUGGCUGUGCGACCCGGCAGUAACUCCGGUUUUCUGAAAGCUUCCUAUGACGCUUGACCUAAGCGAUGAACUCUUCAGCCACGUGUUGUUCUCGGUGAUGAAUUGACUAGAAACGCUUUUGAAAGCAUUGAAUUGACCAGAGUUUCUUUCCCUUUAUUUUAGAUAAAAGAAGUAAAGCCUUGAAAGCUUCCAGUCCUGCUCCUGCUCAUGGCCACCACUAACCACCUCCGCUCGGAUGGGACGUCGGCCUGGCCGCACCAUGGGAUUGUGCGUGGCACGUCACGUCCACUGGUAGCAGUGCUGCUGCCCUGCAGAAUAAACCUACCCGUGAGAUCCACCCUGCCUGCGCCGUGACCCUCCCGCCGGCCAGAGUCCCGCUGAGAAAGCCGGGGGCGGAGGGGGGAGAGCGCCAUGGGCGCAGGUGUGGGGGCGGAUCUAGGCACUCGCUCUGGUGGGCAAUAAACAUCUGUUCUGC